AACGAACGCUGGCGGCAUGCCUAACACAUGCAAGUCGAACGAGACCUUCGGGUCUAGUGGCGCACGGGUGCGUACCGCGUGGGAACCUGCCCUUAGGUUCGGAAUACCUCCCCGAAAGGGGUGCUAAUACCGGAUAAUGUCUUCGGACCAAAGAUUUAUCGCCUUUGGAUGGGCCCGCGUUGGAUUAGCUAGUUGGUAGGGUAAAAGCCUACCAAGGCGACGAUCCAUAGCUGGUCGGAGAGGAUGAUCAGCCACACUGGGACUGAGACACGGCCCAGACUCCUACGGGAGGCAGCAGUGGGGAAUAUUGGACAAUGGGCGAAAGCCUGAUCCAGCAAUGCCGCGUGAGUGAUGAAGGCCUUAGGGUUGUAAAGCUCUUUUACCCGGGAUGAUAAUGACAGUACCGGGAGAAUAAGCUCCGGCUAACUCCGUG
RNAcentral lists this ribosomal RNA (433 nucleotides) under uncultured bacterium. Its description in RNAcentral is "partial 16S ribosomal RNA". It matches the Rfam family "Bacterial small subunit ribosomal RNA", at positions 29 to 507 of the family's 1533-position model. The record is from RNAcentral.